AUGAACGCUGGCGGCGUGCCUAAUACAUGCAAGUCGAGCGAACAGACGAGGAGCUUGCUCCUCUGACGUUAGCGGCGGACGGGUGAGUAACACGUGGAUAACCUACCUAUAAGACUGGGAUAACUUCGGGAAACCGGAGCUAAUACCGGAUAAUAUAUUGAACCGCAUGGUUCAAUAGUGAAAGACGGUUUUGCUGUCACUUAUAGAUGGAUCCGCGCCGCAUUAGCUAGUUGGUAAGGUAACGGCUUACCAAGGCAACGAUGCGUAGCCGACCUGAGAGGGUGGUCGGCUACACUGGAACUGAGACACGGCCCAGACUCCUGCGGGGGGCAGCAGUAGGGAAUCUUCCGGAAUGGGGGAGAGCGUGACGGUGCAACACCGCGUGAGGGAUGAAGGUGUUCGGAUCGGAGAGCGCUGUUGGUAGUGGGGAAGAAAUGUGUAUGUAACUAUGCACGUCUUGACGGUACCGGAUCAGAAAGCCACGGCUAACUACGUG
Molecule: ribosomal RNA, 496 nt
Filed under: uncultured bacterium
Lineage: Bacteria
Description: partial 16S ribosomal RNA
Rfam family: Bacterial small subunit ribosomal RNA
Source: RNAcentral